RNAcentral lists this ribosomal RNA (406 nucleotides) under uncultured bacterium. RNAcentral describes it as "partial 16S ribosomal RNA". It matches the Rfam family "Bacterial small subunit ribosomal RNA", at positions 30 to 526 of the family's 1533-position model. The record is from RNAcentral.
AUUGAACGCUGGCGGCAGGCUUAACACAUGCAAGUCGAGCGAGUGGCGGACGGGUGAGUAAUGUCUGGGAAACUGCCUGAUGGAGGGGGAUAACUACUGGAAACGGUAGCUAAUACCGCAUACCAUCGGAUUUGCCCAGAUGGGAUUAGCUUGUAGGUGGGGUAAAGGCUCACCUAGGCGACGAUCCCUAACUGGUCUGAGAGGAUUAACAGCCACACUGUAAAUGAGACACGUCCCAGACUCCUACGUGAGGCAGCAGUUGGGAAUAUUGCACAAUGGGCGCAAGCCUGAUGCAGCCAUGCCGCGUGUAUGAAGAAGGCCUUCGGGUUGUAAAGUACGUACAGCGGGGAGGCGUUACCCUCAGAAGAAGCACCGGCUAACUCCGUGCCAGCAGCCGCGGUAAUAC